This 28-nucleotide non-coding RNA is filed under the name Mus musculus (house mouse). Lineage: Eukaryota; Metazoa; Chordata; Mammalia; Rodentia; Muridae. The record is from RNAcentral.
UACCGUAUAGUAAGAAGUUCAGGUCUGA